CCCUCUGUCCCCUCUUCUACCUCUCCCCAGAUGAGCUCAUCAUAUCCAUGGCUACCCUUGCCAUUGCCAUGCCAAUGAGGGGGACAGCCCGGCCACCCACAAGGAUCCAGGACAAUGAUGCUUACCUCAGCCACCCAGGACCUAAUUAUGAAACACGCAGAGUAAAGAUUCCAGAAGACUUUUGAAAACAACAUUGUGUGUGC
This 203-nucleotide long non-coding RNA is filed under the name Macaca mulatta (Rhesus monkey). RNAcentral's name for it is "lncRNA (ENSMMUG00000062020.1)". The record is from RNAcentral. Lineage: Eukaryota; Metazoa; Chordata; Mammalia; Primates; Cercopithecidae.